This 438-nucleotide ribosomal RNA is filed under the name uncultured bacterium. RNAcentral's name for it is "partial 16S ribosomal RNA". It matches the Rfam family "Bacterial small subunit ribosomal RNA", at positions 355 to 784 of the family's 1533-position model. The record is from RNAcentral.
UGGGGAAUUUUGGACAAUGGGCGCAAGCCUGAUCCAGCAAUGCCGCGUGCAGGAUGAAGGCCUUCGGGUUGUAAACUGCUUUUGUACGGAACGAAAAGGCUCUGGUUAAUACCUGGAGCAUAUGACGGUACCGUAAGAAUAAGCACCGGCUAACUACGUGCCAGCAGCCGCGGUAAUACGUAGGGUGCGAGCGUUAAUCGGAAUUACUGGGCGUAAAGCGUGCGCAGGCGGUUUUGUAAGACAGAGGUGAAAUCCCCGGGCUCAACCUGGGAACUGCCUUUGUGACUGCAAGGCUGGAGUGCGGCAGAGGGGGAUGGAAUUCCGCGUGUAGCAGUGAAAUGCGUAGAUAUGCGGAGGAACACCGAUGGCGAAGGCAAUCCCCUGGGCUGCACCUGGACGCUCAUGCACGAAAGCGUGGGGAGCAAACAGGAUUAGGAU